RNAcentral lists this ribosomal RNA (585 nucleotides) under uncultured beta proteobacterium. RNAcentral's name for it is "bacterial SSU rRNA". It matches the Rfam family "Bacterial small subunit ribosomal RNA", at positions 338 to 916 of the family's 1533-position model. The record is from RNAcentral. Lineage: Bacteria; Pseudomonadati; Pseudomonadota; Betaproteobacteria.
CCUACGGGAGGCAGCAGUGGGGAAUUUUGGACAAUGGGCGCAAGCCUGAUCCAGCCAUGCCGCGUGAGUGAAGAAGGCCUUCGGGUUGUAAAGCUCUUUCGGCCGGGAAGAAAUCGGUUGGGUUAAUACCCCAACUGGAUGACGGUACCGGAAUAAGAAGCACCGGCUAACUACGUGCCAGCAGCCGCGGUAAUACGUAGGGUGCGAGCGUUAAUCGGAAUUACUGGGCGUAAAGCGUGCGCAGGCGGUUUUGUAAGACAGGCGUGAAAUCCCCGGGCUCAACCUGGGAACUGCGCUUGUGACUGCAAGGCUAGAGUAUGGCAGAGGGGGGUGGAAUUCCACGUGUAGCAGUGAAAUGCGUAGAGAUGUGGAGGAACACCGAUGGCGAAGGCAGCCCCCUGGGAUAACACUGACGCUCAGGCACGAAAGCGUGGGGAGCAAACAGGAUUAGAUACCCUGGUAGUCCACGCCCUAAACGAUGACAACUAGCCGUUGGGAACUUCGGUUCUUGGUGGCGUAGCUAACGCGAGAAGUUGUCCGCCUGGGGAGUACGGUCGCAAGAUUAAAACUCAAAGGAAUUGACGG